GGAUGUAGCUCAGUCGGUAGAAUGCUUGCCUCACAUGCAUAAGGUCUUUGGUUCAAUCCCCAACAUCGCA
RNAcentral lists this transfer RNA (70 nucleotides) under Marmota monax (woodchuck). Its description in RNAcentral is "tRNA.Val". Lineage: Eukaryota; Metazoa; Chordata; Mammalia; Rodentia; Sciuridae. The record is from RNAcentral.